GGACGAACGCUGGCGGCGCGCCUAACACAUGCAAGUCGAACGGAGCUUAGAGAGCUUGCUUUUUAAGCUUAGUGGCGAACGGGUGAGUAACGCGUGAGUAACCUGCCCUAGAGUGGGGGACAACAGUUGGAAACGACUGCUAAUACCGCAUAAGCCCACGGUACCGCAUGGUACUGAGGGAAAAGGAUUUAUUCGCUUUAGGAUGGACUCGCGUCCAAUUAGCUAGUUGGUGAGGUAACGGCCCACCAAGGCGACGAUUGGUAGCCGGACUGAGAGGUUGAACGGCCACAUUGGGACUGAGACACGGCCCAGACUCCUACGGGAGGCAGCAGUGGGGGAUAUUGCACAAUGGGGGAAACCCUGAUGCAGCGACGCCGCGUGGAGGAAGAAGGUUUUCGGAUUGUAAACUCCUGUCGUUAGGGACGAUAAUGACGGUACCUAACAAGAAAGCACCGGCUAACUACGUGCCAGCAGCCGCGGUAAAACGUAGGGUGCAAGCGUUGUCCGGAAUUACUGGGUGUAAAGGGAGCGCAGGCGGGAAGACAAGUUGGAAGUGAAAACCAUGGGCUCAACCCAUGAAUUGCUUUCAAAACUGUUUUUCUUGAGUAGUGCAGAGGUAGAUGGAAUUCCCGGUGUAGCGGUGGAAUGCGUAGAUAUCGGGAGGAACACCAGUGGCGAAGGCGGUCUACUGGGCACCAACUGACGCUGAGGCUCGAAAGCAUGGUAGCAAACAGGAUUAGA
This 741-nucleotide ribosomal RNA is filed under the name uncultured Lachnospiraceae bacterium. RNAcentral's name for it is "bacterial SSU rRNA". It matches the Rfam family "Bacterial small subunit ribosomal RNA", at positions 27 to 782 of the family's 1533-position model. The record is from RNAcentral. Lineage: Bacteria; Bacillati; Bacillota; Clostridia; Lachnospirales; Lachnospiraceae.